CUUUCAGUUCCAAAGUCUCAAUCUUCAGAAAUGGUGCAGCCAAAAUCUAGUGAUCCAGAUCCUGCACAAAAUAAUAGUUCUACUGCUUCAGAGGAUGUUCAGAUGACAGAAGGAACCUCAGCUUCAAUUGCUAUUGUGCAGGAAACAGAUCCAAACGACGCAAUAUAUGCUGAGAGGUUGACAAAAAUCAAGGGAAUUUUGUCUGGAGAGACAUCUAUUCAGUUGACUCUACAAUUUCUAUACAG
This 245-nucleotide unclassified non-coding RNA is filed under the name Hevea brasiliensis (rubber tree). Lineage: Eukaryota; Viridiplantae; Streptophyta; Magnoliopsida; Malpighiales; Euphorbiaceae. The record is from RNAcentral.